GAAGAGUCAUUGAACAAAUAUUCUAAAGCUGCAACUUUAGGUAUUCAUCCAUAUAAACGAAUGUGCAUAGCUAUUAAAAGUGAACCAGGAACCAACAUAAAUAUAGCGUAGAGAUUUUCAUGUACCUGAUCGAUGCAAAAGUUAACUAAAACUUUUGUGAAACGAAGACUACUCCAGCAGCUUGCUGGUAACUCUUUGGAGCAACCCUUUGCAUAUUAACCUCGUGGAAGCAUGACCAUAGGUUUUUAAGAGUUUUCAAUAUCUCAUUAAAAACACUGCACGUUUUAGCCGUUGAUGCGUAUAUAAGGUGGUUAUAUAUUGAUUUCAUUUCUUUGACCAUGAAGGAAGUUUAAAUCUAAAACAAUAAAGUAUUAGGCUAUGUAUAUCACCUACGUGUAUAACCAUCAUCAUAAGCUUACCCAUCAUCUGUUUUACUUGAAGGCACGUGAUUGUGGAAUCACCUGCACAGAAAGAAAGAAGGUUUCUCGGGUAAGAAGAAGCCAAUGAUGAUCCUUAUGAAGUUAUAAGCAUCACAUCACAUAGAACAUGAUAAAACCCAAAAAAAAAAAAAUUAAACAUGACAAAGCCUACAAACGUUGUAAGAAAAGUAAGUUGACUCAAAAGUACCAUCAUCAGGUCAAGCCAUAGAUUAGAUUGGAAGUUUAACAGUGAUGAUUAAAACAUACUGACAGAAAGACCAAGUUGUCUCAUGCACCUGCUGUGGAUUUCAACGUAUUCUUCAUAAGACUGCAAAAACAAACAAAAAAAUAAGCACAAGACUUUGUCAAAGAUUAGACAAAAAACAUCACUUCAAAACUGGAGCUCAUGAUGCUUCUCAAGAAACAUAAGAAAGCCCCUUUUGAUGCAAAACUUUAGCUAAACCCUGAGAUAUGGAUCAGAUAUAUCCCGGAUGCUUAAAAAAAAAACACUAUAAACUUUUGCUACAUUGGCUCUCGAAAGGCAAACCCCAUGAGUUGGAUCGUAAAUACUUUUCUUUCUCCCGGAAAUAUUCUGAGGCUACACCAUAUCCUCUCUGCUAUGCAACAUGGAAUCUGCUGAGGUCAUCCUGGUUUGAGUAGACCAUAGAAGGGUAGGCAUCCG
Molecule: long non-coding RNA, 1101 nt
Filed under: Brassica rapa (field mustard)
Lineage: Eukaryota; Viridiplantae; Streptophyta; Magnoliopsida; Brassicales; Brassicaceae
Description: long non-coding RNA (BRAP_LNC007296)
Source: RNAcentral